Molecule: ribosomal RNA, 254 nt
Filed under: uncultured bacterium
Lineage: Bacteria
Description: partial 16S ribosomal RNA
Rfam family: Bacterial small subunit ribosomal RNA
Source: RNAcentral
UACGUAGGGUGCAAGCGUUAAUCGGAAUUACUGGGCGUAAAGCGUGCGCAGGCGGCUUUGCAAGACAGAUGUGAAAUCCCCCGGGCUCAACCUGGGAAUGGCAUUUGGGACUGCAAGGCUGGAGUGCGGCAGAGGAGACUGGAAUUCCUGGUGUAGCAGUGAAAUGCGUAGAGAUGUGGAGGAACACCGAUGGCGAAGGCAGCCCCCUGGGUCAAGAUUGACGCUCAUGCACGAAAGCGUGGGGAGCAAACAGG